CCGUCAAACUGCACAUGUCGCUCCCUUCACAAAAAAACUAGCACACAGAUACAUCCCUUCCGCUAUCCUUAUCCUGAUCCCUCUUCAGAAAAAAAAAGCCUUAUCCUGAUCCCUUUCCUUCUCUCAGAACGGAGGUGGAGAAGAAGCACGGGAGCACACUGGAGAGUCGACGUGGAGGUGGCGGAUCAGAGGAGCCGGCGAAAAGGUCGGCCAGGGAACGGGAAUAGCAGCUCCACCGUCUCGUCCUCCCAAAUUCUCAGAGCGGAGCUGGAGUAAUGCCGUCUGCGUCGGCGUCGGCGUCGAGCCGUCAAGGGUGCGGGAUGUGGGAUGUCUGCCCAUCCGCAACUACUGGAAGAACACGCUGGCAGCGAGCGUCUCCAAGAGCAAGGGAGGAGAUGACGUUGCAGCUCAAGGGGGCCUCACUACCUGAAGACAAGGCACCACGCAGGAAGCUUCUCAUUAACGGGCACUGCCAUGUGGGUGUUGGAGGUCUGCGGCAACGCCUUCCGCUAUAGUGCUGGCGAGAACAUAUAAUCCUCCUAAAGAAUACAAGGUCAGGGUGAGAUAUCAUAUGCUCGUAAACUUCCAGGCCGUGUACUUAGAUGUCCCUUCUAUUUUACACGCGUUGUGAGUGUUAAUCAAGACAUAUAUAAUCCUGUCGAUGCACGUUCACACAACUACAUGUCCCUCCAAAUUUCCUCAGUUAAUACUUAUAGUUAUAUAUGAUAAUAUUAUAAUUAUUGGUGUUAUGAUAUUGGUCCAGAGUCAACUAUACAUUUACAAUAUUGAAGUAAUAUAUUUUAAGUUUGGUACAUGCAAAAAAGUUUACAACCCAUAAACACCUUAUGUGAUAAUUGAUAAACAAAUUAAUGUGACAUACAUCCAUCCAUUUAUGGUAACUACGAAUGCAAGUAUACAUCACAAUCAUUUGUUUCCUAACCACAUAAAAAUAUAUUUGUUUUCAUAAUUUCCGAACAUUUUUUAACGAUGGUCCUUUUAUCUCGGAUAUACCUAUUUUCAUACAUUUCUUACUCCUAAAAACACACGGAAAUUCAAAAAAGGUUAAGUUCCAUAUUUAAAAUUAUUAGCAAUGACCUCUCUUUUACGUUAUUAAACAUGUUAUGACCUUAAUAUCAGGCAUCCGUGUCGAAACACACAUUACAUUGACCAUGAAUGAGCCUCUAUCUCUUUUAAUAGGAUGAUGUAGGGGAAAAAAAUCCUGUUGCAACUCAGGGGCCUUUUUCCUAGUAUAAACUAUAUCUAUAUUAUUCGUGAUCGUGCAUGGUACUAGCUUCUUCUUCAAUAAUAUGUGGCCACGCCGCAAUGGAACGGUCGUAGAGGUCUUGAUCAUGCAUGUUGAGUGGUUUGUAGUUGUCGCCCAUCUUUACCGCCUCACGAAACUUAUUCAUCAAAUGUCUCCGUUUCCCGCGAACACGGGACACACUAAGUUCACCACGGUAGAUGAUGGGUGACGUAGAUGAUGGGUGACGGGCCCUUUUUUAACUUCUGUAUGAGCGCCGGCACCGGUACGUCCCCGCCUUUGUAUUUCUUCUUCCUUCGGAGCAUCCCAUCGGCAUCAAUUAUUUGGCACUCGUCGUUGAAGUGCCAGUAGUUGUACUGGGGCCUUGGCCCCCGCUUCUUCUUGCUUAUUGAAUUUGAGUCGACGGAGACAAACGAUUUGCCACUAUUGGAGUCCAUGGCGCCGAUGUCAGCAGCUGACUCCUCAUCGCCGGAGGAGGAGAUAACAACAACGUCGUCGGCCUUCUUUAAAAAAAAGAAACCAAAUCAAACAAUUCUAAUUAAUUCUCAUGAUUUCUCAAACAUACGUGUAACCAACAUAUGUAGUUUUUUUUUGAAACAAGUAACCAACAUAUGUAGUUAUAUGAAAAGAAAAAACUAAUACUUCGCAUCUGUGCCCGUCGUGGUCUAAGAAUGCAAGGCCGUUGGAUUUGGUGGAGUAAUUGUCGACGUCAACAGCAGCAUCUUGAGAGGAGGUAUUGUCCACCUUUUUGUAAAAAAGAAAGAGAAACCGAGUCAAAUAAAAUUCUUACUGUGCAAUGUGUAUUCUCAGUGCAUUGGUGCAUAUAUAUAUAUAUAUUUUUUCUAUC
Molecule: RNA transcript, 2108 nt
Organism: Triticum aestivum (bread wheat)
Lineage: Eukaryota; Viridiplantae; Streptophyta; Magnoliopsida; Poales; Poaceae
Exons: 3
Source: RefSeq, a predicted model, not a curated record